CUAUUCCUACAUAAAAUCGCAAGAGAUCUGAAGUAAUCUUUUAGAUGAGAAAAUGUCACUGCUGUUAUAUAACUACAUAUGACACCACCUCCUCUCAGUCUGUCCAUCUGUCUGUAUGUCUGCCCUUUCUUCCCUCUUUUUUUUCUCUAGAGUCUUCUAUUAGUUAAUUUUCUAGUUGCUGGGACAAACUACUUGAAAGACAACAACUUAAGGGGAGAAGUGCAUGAACCUGUCAGGCAAGUUGUGUCAGCUCACAGAGAGUGACAAGAAAGAAGUGACCUACUUCCUAUAGCUAGGUACCAACUUCCUCUUCCCUGACCCCCAGCCAAGGAUCAUGUAUUUAAGCACAGAACCUAUGGGAGACAGUUUACAUUCAGACUAUAGCCAGCCUAUAGAAGAGCUUACACAAGUGACUGUCAGGUUACACCAAGCCCAAGGACCUCAGUCCUGAGAUGCAGCUGUUAUAAAUGUUUCAAAACUAUCCUUUAGCUUUCUGGAAGCUGACAUAAACACAUUUGAAUAUUUUAGAAAAAGAAAAUUUAAAAGAUGACUGGUGGUUUGAAUGAGAAUGGCCCCCCAUAGGCUCAUAUAUUUGAAUACUUGGUGGCCAGGGAGUGGAACUAUUUGAAAGGAUUAGAAGGAUUUGGAGGUAUGGCCUUGUUGGAGGAAGUAUGUCACUGGGGUUUUGGACUUUGUGGUUUCAAAAGCCCACAUUGGGGGCCUAUUCUCUCUCUCUCUUUCUUUCUCUUAGCCCCCCCCCUCUCUCUCCCCUCUCUCUCUCCUCCCCCCUCUCUCUGCCUAUGGAUAAGGAGGCAGAACUCUCAGUACUUUCCCAGCACCAUGUCUGCCUGAGUACUGCCAUACUCCCCACCAUGAUAAUGGACUAAGCCCCUAAAAUUGUAAGCCAGCCCCCAGUUAAAUGCUUUCUUUUAUAGUGCUAUCUGGGUCAUGGUGUUUCUUCACAAUAGGACAGUGACUAAGACAGGGAAAGCAUCAAGAGUCAGGGACAAGGCAAUAUUACUACUUCAGGAGCUGGGAAGUGGGGUGCUAUCUAGGCCACAGGCUGUUUUAGUUGGGUUUGAGUCAGAAAGGUCUUUGAUCAUUCAUUUCUUUGCCAGUGGGCAAAGUGGCUUGGGUGAGGCCUAGCUCCGAGUAACAACACGGUCUAGCUUAAGGACCAGCAUGCUGGGGCAGUGAUUCUCUUAAAGUAGGUCAGAAAUGUGUGCUUCUUAUGGUCAAAACGGAGGGUAAGAACCUUUCAGUGAUAUCAUAUAAAAAAAAUCCAAAGACGAGAGAUCAAGUAUUGAGGGGGUGGGGCUGGAGCAAAUAGAGAAACAUUAUAGUAAGAAUAUAGAUCACAGCUAGUGAGAUUAAAAAAAAAGAAUUUGCUAAAAUUAUACAUGAUGUCAACUAGAUAGUAAUUUUUUUAUGCCUCAGGUAAGCAAGAGAUAGGUAGAGGCCCUUGAAUGCCCACUGGUAGGUGUAACAUAAAAAAAAAAAAACCAUCAAUGAUGGAGCAAUCGCAUCUAUUGGAAGCCAUAUUGAAACACCCCCACUGAGAGAGAAUGACCCCCUGGAAAUCAGUAAGUGCUUUAAAGACAAGAAGUCCAAGCUGGAGACAUUAUGCCCGGUUUUUACUACUUAGUUUGAAGCUAUAGUCACCAAGACAGUAUGCGACUGAAUCAACAGAUAGGCCUGAAAUAUGUAGCCCAUUGAAUUUGGGCAAUGUUACAAGUAUUCUGUGAGAAUGGGCAUUUUCAGCCAAUAAAGCUGAAGCAGAGACCUGUACUCAUGAAAUUGAGCCUCGACUCAUAGUGAACACUCAGACAAACUUGACAUGGAUUGACAUAGACAUAGGCCUACAUAAAGCUUCCAAGAUAAUAAGUCAUCCUAAGAACACAUAGGAGGAACUUUCUGUCAUCUUUGUACAGGCAAAACUUAUUGUUCUGAUAUUUAAAAAAAAAGACCAUAGUUUUUAGAAUAUUCGAGAUUCACAGCAAAAUGGAGUAGAAGGCACAGUCAUUUCUUAUGUGCUCAAAUGCCCCUGAACAUGCAGCCUCUGGGGUGGAAAGCUACUCUUAGGAACCUGCACUAAAAGGUCAUUGUCACCUCCAUAGGCAUCCGUCCAAAUGUAUUUCCUACUUACAAUGGAAAAAUGUACAAUAGGUAUCCACUGUUUACAGAGUAGUUUCCUGCCCUGGAAACCCUAUGUAUUCAGCCCAGUCCUCCUGCCUAACAACAAUUAUUGCUUUUUAGAUAUAGAAACAAAGAAAAAAAUGUAGUUAUUAAAAUUGAAAGCUUUUGGCCCUUAAAAGAACUGUUGAGAAAAUGAACAGGCAACCUCCGCUAGUGGGAAUAUGCUUGAAAACACCUGAUU
RNAcentral lists this long non-coding RNA (2377 nucleotides) under Mus musculus (house mouse). RNAcentral's name for it is "long non-coding RNA chr8:35611699-35614076". Lineage: Eukaryota; Metazoa; Chordata; Mammalia; Rodentia; Muridae. The record is from RNAcentral.